Molecule: long non-coding RNA, 682 nt
Organism: Diceros bicornis minor
Lineage: Eukaryota; Metazoa; Chordata; Mammalia; Perissodactyla; Rhinocerotidae
Exons: 3
Source: RefSeq, a predicted model, not a curated record
CUCGGUGCAAUGGUUAACAGUGUUAGUUUCAGCAGGUAGGUGGACUGGAGCAAUGAAGACAGAAGGGAGUGGAAUGUACUAGCUGGUAAAUUAUUUACAUUUUGCUCCGUACCAUGGGUCAUUCUUACCUAAUGAAAUAUGUAAAAAGUGUACAUAUAGGCAAGAACUGGACCAUGGUAUGGAAGAUGACAAUUGUCUUGCUAGUUACAUUGGAGAGAUGGGGAACGGAUUGCUAUUCCUUUAUCUCUUGUCAUAAUGUUGUUUGCACAAAGGAUACAAUUUUGUUAUAUAUAUUUUUUAGUUUAAAAGGAAAAAACAAGCCUGACCCUGAAGUGUAGUGGCAGUUGGCUCUGAGGAUGCCUUCAAGACGGGAAGUCUUAGGCAUCAGAGACUCCCUGAGACAUCUUUUCUCCCCUUGGAGCGGUGCUAGAGCCUGUGCACACCACUGGGAAUAAGAUUCAUUUCUGACCGGGGUGGCCUCCUUCACAAGCUCCUGGAGAAACAAACAGGCACUUACUGUAAACAACAUGUGGUUCAAGUUUCAAAAUUGUCCUCCCGAAAGGUUGGACCAACAUACACUCCCAGCAGAGGUAUACACGUGCUCUGUGUAUCAACAUGAUUGCUGAAAAACAGUAUCUUGUUUCACUUAUCUUUUUCAUCACUAAUAAAACUACACUUUUUA